AUUAUUUUUAAACAUUUUUACUAGUUUAUAAUAGGUGUACUUGUACUUUCAUUGUGACAAUUCCCAUAUACAUACAAUAUAUCACUAAAUGGAUUUUUGGAACAGGGAGAUGGAAUAGGGGCCUGCUCCGUCCACUGCACGCAUCGACCUGGUAUUGCAGUACCUCCAGGAACGGUGCACCAAAA
Molecule: small nuclear RNA, 185 nt
Filed under: Castor canadensis (American beaver)
Lineage: Eukaryota; Metazoa; Chordata; Mammalia; Rodentia; Castoridae
Description: U2 spliceosomal RNA (ENSCCNG00000028933.1)
Rfam family: U2 spliceosomal RNA
About the family: U2 is a small nuclear RNA (snRNA) component of the spliceosome (involved in pre-mRNA splicing). Complementary binding between U2 snRNA (in an area lying towards the 5' end but 3' to hairpin I) and the branchpoint sequence (BPS) of the intron results the bulging out of an unpaired adenosine, on the BPS, which initiates a nucleophilic attack at the intronic 5' splice site, thus starting the first of two transesterification reactions that mediate splicing.
Source: Rfam by way of RNAcentral